CCCUCUGACCUAUGGUGAAUCCAUCAGAGGGACAGACUCUUCAUUAUAAUACGGUGUGCCGGGGCAGUGAUCUUUAUACAGGGGGUGUGGGCUGUACUCAGAGCCAGCGUGUGUGAGCCUCUGGGCAGGAUCCGAUGACCAAACAGGUAGAAGAAAUCCACAAGGACAUCGAGCUUGAAAGUGAAGGAAAAACUCAGGUUGUCUUCGGUCAAUUCAAAACUUUGUCUCUGAAGGUAUUCUCGCACAGCAUUGCUAAAGGUCUGUGGAAAGAGAGAGUUGGCAUGACAAGGCGGGUCAAGCUACAGAAAUAGCAACUCUUAUUUACCCAUCAGUACUGGCAAGCCGGGGCAAAGAUCACAAAAGAAUUGCAAGAGCACCAUCAAACACAGGUACAGCGGGACAUCGCUGCAGCCGGUGAUAGGGUGAAGGCUCUGUGACGUCCCAACACCAGCAAGAACAGCGGAGGACAGUGAGGCAGUUCCUUAACAAUGGGGGAACGGAUGACGAAGCUAUUGUCUGUGUGUCUCUGUGAGGAGUCCAAAUACAGGAAGUCUGGGUGGAGAAGAAGGGCUCUGUGCAAUGAGGACAAGCAGGGCUCUGUGCAGUAAAGCAGAAGACACCAAUUCAACAUCUGAUGGUACCCGACAAAGUACUUCUGCCGAACAAACAAGUACAUGAGUCCAGCAAAGGCUGCAGGCGCUACGUUACAUAUGGAAAGAAAGUGAUAGAACAUUAGUUGCAAACUUUUAUUAAAC
Hyla sarda is the source of this 755-nucleotide long non-coding RNA. RefSeq lists it as uncharacterized. The transcript is spliced from 7 exons. Lineage: Eukaryota; Metazoa; Chordata; Amphibia; Anura; Hylidae. The record is from RefSeq and is a predicted model, not a curated record.